This 458-nucleotide unclassified non-coding RNA is filed under the name Hevea brasiliensis (rubber tree). The record is from RNAcentral. Lineage: Eukaryota; Viridiplantae; Streptophyta; Magnoliopsida; Malpighiales; Euphorbiaceae.
UUUCAGUCCACUUGUUUUCAGCUUGCGGGCAUUGGUUGAUUUUAAUUACUCUGAUGGCACCGUGGACCUCAUUAGCAAAGCUAGCUCAUACUUGAGAAGUAUCUUCCAUGCAAUAAAAAAGGCAGAGGAUGCUGUUGAUGCACAAAUUACUCCUAAUCUUCAUACGUUGUCAGAUAUUGGGAUUUCUUUGUUGGAUGCAAUAAGCAACAGAGGCGUGUCUCAUUCACAUAUCUCUGGACUUAUUUUGCUGCCAUCUUCACUCUAUAAAAUGGGUCAAGAACAUAAUAGUCAGGGGAAAAGUGAUCUUUUAAUUCGUUAUCAGCUAGAUGAAAAUUUCAUUAGGAGUUUACUUGAUAUUUCUAAAAAGAAAGCUCAGACUGCUGGCAUCAUCAGUACACAAUACCAAAAAUCUCAAGAUGGCAUGAAGCGGUCUGGUAACAGUGGGGGCAGCAUGUUAG